RNAcentral lists this ribosomal RNA (497 nucleotides) under uncultured bacterium. Its description in RNAcentral is "partial 16S ribosomal RNA". It matches the Rfam family "Bacterial small subunit ribosomal RNA", at positions 28 to 507 of the family's 1533-position model. The record is from RNAcentral.
GAUGAACGCUGGCGGCGUGCCUAAUACAUGCAAGUCGAGCGAACAGAUGAGGAGCUUGCUCCUCUGACGUUAGCGGCGGACGGGUGAGUAACACGUGGAUAACCUACCUAUAAGACUGGGAUAACUUCGGGAAACCGGAGCUAAUACCGGAUAAUAUAUUGAACCGCAUGGUUCAAUAGUGAAAGACGGUUUUGCUGUCACUUAUAGAUGGAUCCGCGCCGCAUUAGCUAGUUGGUAAGGUAACGGCUUACCAAGGCAACGAUGCGUAGCCAACCUGAGAGGGUGAUCGGCCACACUGGAACUGAGACACGGUCCAGACUCCUACGGGAGGCAGCAGUAGGGAAUCUUCCGCAAUGGGCGAAAGCCUGACGGAGCAACGCCGCGUGAGUGAUGAAGGUCUUCGGAUCGUAAAACUCUGUUAUUAGGGAAGAACAAAUGUGUAAGUAACUAUGCACGUCUUGACGGUACCUAAUCAGAAAGCCACGGCUAACUACGUG